UCUGGGGCAGCACAGUGGAUAGAGCACCUGACUUGGAAUCAGGAAAAAUCUGAAUUCAAAUCCAGUCUCAGAC
RNAcentral lists this transfer RNA (73 nucleotides) under Sarcophilus harrisii (Tasmanian devil). It matches the Rfam family "tRNA". Rfam says of the family: Transfer RNA (tRNA) molecules are approximately 80 nucleotides in length. Their secondary structure includes four short double-helical elements and three loops (D, anti-codon, and T loops). The record is from Rfam by way of RNAcentral. Lineage: Eukaryota; Metazoa; Chordata; Mammalia; Dasyuromorphia; Dasyuridae.